Molecule: long non-coding RNA, 1856 nt
Filed under: Brassica napus (rape)
Lineage: Eukaryota; Viridiplantae; Streptophyta; Magnoliopsida; Brassicales; Brassicaceae
Description: long non-coding RNA (BNAP_LNC000010)
Source: RNAcentral
AACGACGACAAUUCGCGGCUUCGCUGGCUUGAAAGAGGACCUUUGGUGAGCGUAAAGGGGCAACAGUCCACGUGGGAUGAAAUACAGCCAUGUUCUGCCACGUCAUCGACAUUGGGACCCUACUGAAACACUAAAUAAUUUAGUCUUCUACUAAUAAUGAUGACCGGUCAAAGCGGUUUAUUCCUUUUCCGGCUGCCGCAUCUUAUUACCCUCGGUCAACUCCUUCCCUAUUUAUCACCAACAUGACCUAUUUUUUUUUUUUAAAGACCUAAUCUCAUUUCAUGAACUUUUUUUGGGUGUUUAAACUAGUAGUCAUCGUACUCUGGAUCAUUUAUUCUUUCGCCUCAAAAAAAAACUAGUAGUCAUGUUCAUGUAUCCUGUAUAUAUAUCUCUGAUGAAAAUGAAAAUAUUUAUUUGUCGACGUCUAAACUCUCCCAAUACGGCAGGCCUCAUCCGGCAUGGCUAAUAUUGCAUUAUAUAUUGCGAAGAACUGCUUAAUAAUAGUGGGUGCCUAAUCGUAUGGAAAAUGCUAUAGAAUGUACAGUGCUGCACGUGUCUCCAUUUAUUUUACAAUAUUUUUAAUUUGGGUCAAUACAAUAUGCGUCUUUAAUUAUAGUUUUAGAGUAUUAUAUGUUGCUUCGAAUUAUUUGAUGGAAAAUAUGGAAAGCAUUAAUAUAAGAGACCAUAUAGACAUUUUUAUCAUAUACAAGCUGAGAAGUGAGCAGCCAUGGACGUGUAUUAUUUAAUUUUAUAUGUAUUUAUAGUCUAUUACACCACAACUUCAGAUCAUAAAAUAUAUUGGCUACACACGUGAAGAAAAAAAAAUACUAAGAAUAUAGAUACACCAUUAUAGUGUUCCCAUAAUUUGCCAAUAGUUUACGUGAGUGUAUUUGCUUAAACAUAUCCUAAGUAGUCAGCCGCCCCGCAAAAUUAAAAUAAGAAGAUGAUGUUUUCCAACUUAUAUGCAUAAUGCAUUGCAAGACCUCAGUUUAAUGCAAAUGAGCUUAGUUUAGAGAGACGCUGUAGAAGCAGACGUCCUGUGUAGAAGUUAUGAUGUGUUGGUAGUUUACCUUGUAGUUUAUAUGAUGUACAUAUAAAAAGGGGAGAUACUUAUGAAACAAGGUUAUGUAUAUUUGAGAAAGGGGGUGUUUAUUUGAGAGAGAGGAAAGUAAAGAUGGAGAAAUAACGUAAAAAAGGAAAUGGGUGGAACCUGGACCGGGCGGAUAAGUGUUGGGGGUGGGGUCACAUUUGGGCGUAAUCAGUAGGGGAGGAAUGUAUUUUUGUUUUUGUUUUUGUUUGAUCUCCUCUUUAAUUACUUAAUCACGAUUUUAAAAUGGGGGAUUAAGAAAAUAGAAGAAGUCGCCUGCUUGAAAUGACAAAAAUACCCUAAAACAUUAAAGGAUUAGUAUGGCCACGGCGGCAUGAGUAAGAUGCGGCGUCGUUUAAAGACAAGGAAGAUAGAGAUAAAAGCUCAUUAGACCUGCCUCCACAAUACUUAUUAGUGAUUGAUGAUCAUCUCUCUCUCUUUGCAUUUGAAUUGAUUUUGCAAAUCUCAUAAAAGGGGAUUCAGUUAUAAAAAAAUUAAAAAAAAGGAAUCGUUGAGUUUAAUUUGCUCAAUGGUGGUGGUAUCAAUCUUCCUUCAUAAAUCGAUCGAAAGGGGAUAUAAAAAAAAGGAAUCGUUGAGUUUAAUUUGCUCAAUGGUGGUGGUGAUGGAGAGUUGCGGAAGUAGAGUCUUACCGAUGAUGUCGCAGGCGGGCAUGGAGCGGCGGGAGCGGAUGAAAGUGGAGGUGUUCGAAGAGGUCAUCCUUCGUCUCCGUCAAUCUGAUAAUAUUGACACGGAUCUCCCCGGUUUCGUC